AAGCCCCAGUAAACGGCGGCCGUAACUAUAACGGUCCUAAGGUAGCGAAAUUCCUUGUCGGGUAAGUUCCGACCUGCACGAAUGGCGUAACGACUUGGGCGCUGUCUCAACCAUAGACUCGGUGAAAUUGUACUAUUCGUGAAGAUGCGAAUUACCCGCGGAAGGACGGAAAGACCCCGUGAACCUUUACUACAGCUUGACAUCGAUCAUUGGUUUGUCGUGUAGAGGAUAGGUGGGAGGCUGCGAAGCCGGGACGCCAGUUUCGGUGGAGCCACCCUUGGAAUACCACCCUCGGCAGAUUGAUGAUCUAACCCCGUGCCGUGAAUCCGGGCGGGGGACCGUGUCAGGUGGGUAGUUUGACUGGGGCGGUCGCCUCCUAAAAUGUAACGGAGGCGCGCGUAAGGUUGGCUCAGAACGGUUGGCAAUCGUUCGUAGAGUGCAAGAGCAUAAGCCAGCUUGACUGCGAGACCUACAAGUCGAGCAGAGACGAAAGUCGGCUCUAGUGAUCCGGCGGCUCAGAGUGGAAUGGCCGUCGCUCAACGGAUAAAAGGUACUCCGGGGAUAACAGGCUGAUCCUCCCCAAGAGUCCACAUCGACGGGAGGGUUUGGCACCUCGAUGUCGGCUCAUCGCAUCCUGGGGCUGGAGUAGGUCCCAAGGGUAUGGCUGUUCGCCAUUUAAAGCGGUACGCGAGCUGGGUUUAGAACGUCGUGAGACAGUUCGGUCCCUAUCCUCCGUGGGCGUAGGUGAAUUGAGGGAGGCUGCUCCUAGUACGAGAGGACCGGAGCGGACGAACCUCUGGUGUACCAGUUGUCGACCAACGGCACCGCUGGUUAGCUACGUUCGGUCGGGAUAACCGCUGAAAGCAUCUAAGCGGGAAGCCCAUCCCAAGAUGAGUUCACCCACUGGGUUAACCAGGUAAGGCUCGUCGUAGACUACGACGUUGAUAGGCUGCAGGUGUAGGCACGGCAACGUGUAUAGCCGAGCAGUACUAAUUGGCCGAGGUCUUGAUCUCAUUC
Molecule: ribosomal RNA, 1017 nt
Filed under: Actinomycetota bacterium
Lineage: Bacteria; Bacillati; Actinomycetota
Description: Actinobacteria bacterium (sediment metagenome) partial 23S ribosomal RNA
Rfam family: Bacterial large subunit ribosomal RNA
Source: RNAcentral